RNAcentral lists this ribosomal RNA (515 nucleotides) under uncultured bacterium. Its description in RNAcentral is "bacterial SSU rRNA". It matches the Rfam family "Bacterial small subunit ribosomal RNA", at positions 33 to 518 of the family's 1533-position model. The record is from RNAcentral.
ACGCUGGCGGCGUGCCUAAUACAUGCAAAGUCGAACGGUCUUUCUAUGGAAGCUUGCUUCCACUGAGAAGAUAGUGGCGAACGGGUGAGUAACACGUGGGUAACCUGCCCAUAAGAGGGGGGAUAACAUCCGGAAACGGGUGCUAAUACCGCAUAGUUUUCUUGAUCGCAUGAUUGAGAAAGGAAAGACGGCCUUUGUGCUGUCGCUUAUGGAUGGACCCGCGGCGUAUUAGUUAGUUGGUGAGGUAACGGCUCACCAAGACGAUGAUACGUAGCCGACCUGAGAGGGUGAUCGGCCACAUUGGGACUGAGACACGGCCCAAACUCCUACGGGAGGCAGCAGUAGGGAAUCUUCCGCAAUGGACGAAAGUCUGACGGAGCAACGCCGCGUGAGUGAAGAAAAGGUUUUCGGAUCGUAAAACUCUGUUGUCAGAGAAGAACAAGUUGGAGAGUAACUGCUCCAGCCUUGACGGUAUCUGACCAGGAAGCCACGGCUAACUACGUGCCAGCCGCUGC